ACCUCUGUGGAUAUUUCGGCUGCCGUCAAAAACCUCUCAAACGUCUGGGUCUGAAGUCGGAAGAGAUAAAAUGUGAGCAGACGUUAGCAGGUGCUGGGCUAGCGGCCAUCUCACUGGGCUCAUACAUCAGGCUCCUAAAGGCCUCACUGAGGAAGCUCGGGCAGCACUGUGGGUAUUCAAGAUGACGACUUACUGUCAUGUUUCAGAAGUCUGAGGAAGAGCUGCGUGGCUGGAAAUGUCACUGCGUUAAAUCGCUCUAGCAGCCGUCUCCAAGAAACCAAGAAACACUGGUUUGUGACGUGCAACUGCAAUCUUCACCACUAGAUGUCACUAAUCCCUUUGAGUCUGACACACUGGACCUUUAAAGCCCAGGUUGCCGUUUACAGAUCAUGAAAGGUUUAGAAAUGACACAUCAAGCAAACUCUUCUUCAUUGAGAGAUAUGUCGUAGUUAAAUGGGGCAAGAUGAACUUUAGAUUCACAAAAUCAGAGGAAAAUCCGUGAGUCUCUAAAUAAAACCUGUAGUAGGUUUGUCAUCUGUGAUAAAGAGACGACCUGGAGUCUGUGUGUGAGCCUCAGUGACCCAGUUCAGUCUUACCUGGCUGACAGCACUGUCCCAGUUAGAGGUUGGAAAGCUCCCAGCUGACUCGAACACAACAGGAGCAUCCCAGGUGCUGAAAUCCACCUUAAUCGUCUGCGCUCAUUAGACGGAGCUCUAAGUGGGAACAUUUAACCAUAGAAGUCUUAAUAUUCCACACCUGGAGGAGCAUUAUGGGUACUGUAGUCACAACACUGUGCUUCCAGACACCUCCUGGAGCUGCUGAAGCGGACAGCCGUCCACGGGGAGAGUAACUCGGUGCUGAUCGUGGGUCCCAGGGGAGCGGGGAAGACAAUGCUGCUCCAGUGUGUGCUCAGAGACCUGCUGGGGGAACAGGAAGUGCAGAAGAACCUGCUGCAGGUUCACCUCAACGGUCUCCUGCAGACGGACGACAGAAUAGCGCUGAAAGAAAUAACGCGGCAGCUCCACCUGGAAAACGUCGUCGGUGACAAAGUGUUUGGAAGCUUUGCAGAGAAUCUGGCUUUCUUGCUGGAGGCGCUGAAGAAAGGUGA
This is a non-coding RNA of Epinephelus lanceolatus (giant grouper), 1108 nucleotides long. Lineage: Eukaryota; Metazoa; Chordata; Actinopteri; Perciformes; Serranidae. The record is from RefSeq and is a predicted model, not a curated record.